GGCUAACUCCGUGCCAGCCGCCGCGGUAAUACGGGGGAUGCAAGCGUUAUCCGGAAUCAUUGGGCGUAAAGCGCCUGUAGAUUGUUUAGUAAGUUCGUUGUUAAAGACUAGGGCUUAACCCUAGGAAAGCGAUGGAAACUACUAGGCUUGAGUAUGGUAGGGGUAGAGGGAAUUUCUAGUGUAGUGGUGAAAUGCGUAGAUAUUAGAAAGAACACCGGYGGCGAAAGCGCUCUACUGGGCCAUUACUGACAYUGAGAGGCGAAAGCUAGGGGAGCAAAAGGGAUUAGAUACCCCUGUAGUCCUAGCCGUAAACGAUGGGUACUAGGUGUUGUGUUUUAUAUACAGUAUCGUAGCUAACGCGUUAAGUACCCCGCCUGGGGAGUACGCUCGCAAGGGUGAAACUCAAAGGAAUUGACGGGGGCCCGCACAAGCGGUGGAGCAUGUGGUUUAAUUCGAUGCAACGCGAAGAACCUUACCAGAACUUGACAUACUACGGAUCUUUUGGAGACAAAAGAGUGCCUUCGGGAAUGUAGAUACAGGUGGUGCAUGGCUGUCGUCAGCUCGUGUCGUGAGAUGUUGGGUUAAGUCCCGCAACGAGCGCAACCCUCGUUUUUAGUUGCCAAUUUAUUGGGAUUUCUGGAAAGACUGCCGGUGAUAAACCGGAGGAAGGUGAGGAUGACGUCAAGUCAGCAUGCCCCUUAUGUUCUGGGCUACACACGUGCUACAAUGACAAAGACAAAGAGUUGCAAAUUCGCGAGAACUAGCU
Molecule: ribosomal RNA, 766 nt
Rfam family: Bacterial small subunit ribosomal RNA